Herpailurus yagouaroundi (jaguarundi) is the source of this 511-nucleotide long non-coding RNA. RefSeq lists it as uncharacterized. Lineage: Eukaryota; Metazoa; Chordata; Mammalia; Carnivora; Felidae. The transcript has 4 exons. The record is from RefSeq and is a predicted model, not a curated record.
CGGUACAUAGAAAUCUGACACUGCUGCUCCGAGGUAAAGAAUACCCAUACGUACCCAACACAAGGACACGCAACCCCAGGACGGGAUCUACAUUAGACGUGCGGAGGACGAAGCUGGCAUCCAGAACCCGAAGCAACCUCUUCCCUUUGUCGUCUUGCUUCUGUUGUUCAGGGGUCUCCCCCAGAAUCUAGAACUUCACGCACCCAGACGCUUCAAAGAAGAACCACACUUUUGGGCCACAGCACAGCUUCCAGAGCCUCAGAGGAUUUUCCUUGCACGGGACCCGCCCGCUCGCCAUGAUUUCAGCGUUGCCACAAGAUCCAAAGUAGAAACAGAGCAAAGCCAACUACCACUGGCUAGAAAGGGGUGUUACCACAUCUGGGGCCUCGCUUCGCUUGCCCCUGCGCGAGCUGCGGUGUGACGGCAGCACUUAUUAGGGAGGAGUCUCUCCAGGCUUCCCUAUCGACCAGCCCUGAAGCCCCACUGAUUACAGGCAAGCACCGGCGCAUGG